UUUCCGUAGGUGAACCUGCGGAAGGAUCAUUCAUAAUAAGUGUUUUAUGGCACUUUUUUAAAUCCAUAUCCACCCUGUGUGCAAUGUCAGGGUUGAUUUCUCUCUCGAGAGGAUCAACCCCAAACAUCAACUAUAUCUCAACUCUUUGUCUGAAAAAUAUUAUGAAUAAAACAAUUCAAAAUACAACUUUCAACAACGGAUCUCUUGGCUCUC
Molecule: unclassified non-coding RNA, 213 nt
Filed under: plant metagenome
Description: partial contains small subunit ribosomal RNA, internal transcribed spacer 1, and 5.8S ribosomal RNA
Source: RNAcentral